CUAACGCUAGCGGCCGGCCUAAUACAUGCAAGUCGGACGGGAUUGUGGAGCUUGCUUCACAUGAGAGUGGCGCACGGGUGCGUAACACGUAUGUAACCUACCUUAAUCUGGGGGAUAGCCUCUCGAAAGAGAGAUUAACACCGCAUAACAUGGUUGAAAUAGCAUUAUUUAAACAUCAAAUAUUUAUAGGAUUAAGAUGGGCAUGCGGAACAUUAGCUAGUUGGUAAGGUAAUGGCUUACCAAGGCUACGAUGUUUAGGGGAUCUGAGAGGAUGACCCCCCACACUGGUAAUGAGACACGGACCAGACUCCUACGGGAGGCAGCAGUAAGGAAUAUUGGUYAAUGGGCGCAAGCCUGAACCAGCCAUGCCGCGUGCAGGAAGACGGCCCUACGGGUUGUAAACUGCUUUUGUACCGGAAUAAACCUUUGUAUGUAUACGAAGCUGAAUGUUCGGUARGMAUAAGCA
Molecule: ribosomal RNA, 466 nt
Filed under: soil isolate KBS-LC9
Lineage: Bacteria
Description: bacterial SSU rRNA
Rfam family: Bacterial small subunit ribosomal RNA
Source: RNAcentral